GACGAACGCUGGCGGCGUGCUUAACACAUGCGAGUCGAACGGAAAGGCUCCAGCUUGCUGGCGUACUCGAGUGGCGAACGGGUGAGUAACACGUGGGUAAUCUGCCCUGCACUCUGGGAUAAGCCUGGGAAACUGGGUCUAAUACUGGAUAUGACCUUUCUCCUUAUGGGGUUUGGUGGAAAGUUUUUCGGUGUAGGAUGAGCCCGCGGCCUAUCAGCUUGUUGGUGGGGUGAUGGCCUACCAAGGCGACGACGGGUAGCCGGCCUGAGAGGGUGAUCGGCCACAUUGGGACUGAGAUACGGCCCAGACUCCUACGGGAGGCAGCAGUGGGGAAUAUUGCACAAUGGGCGGAAGCCUGAUGCAGCGACGCCGCGUGAGGGAUGACGGCCUUCGGGUUGUAAACCUCUUUCAGCAGGGACGAAGCGUAAGUGACGGUACCUGCAGAAGAAGCACCGGCUAACUACGUG
Molecule: ribosomal RNA, 467 nt
Filed under: uncultured bacterium
Lineage: Bacteria
Description: partial 16S ribosomal RNA
Rfam family: Bacterial small subunit ribosomal RNA
Source: RNAcentral